RNAcentral lists this non-coding RNA (115 nucleotides) under unclassified sequences. RNAcentral describes it as "SAM-I-IV sequence". It matches the Rfam family "SAM-I/IV (S-adenosyl methionine) riboswitch aptamer". From Rfam's summary of the family: It is found upstream of a number of genes which code for proteins involved in methionine or cysteine biosynthesis. It has been found mostly in the order Actinomycetales. The record is from Rfam by way of RNAcentral.
AUCAAACAUCAGGAGUGAUCUGCAGGAGCAGAUCCGCCAACCGAGCCGAGAGGCCACGGUAGUUUGAUCCAUGAAUGGUAGAUGUGCCCGCAAGGGAAAUCAAAGGCCGCCUGAU